This 210-nucleotide ribosomal RNA is filed under the name uncultured Glomus. Its description in RNAcentral is "partial small subunit ribosomal RNA". It matches the Rfam family "Eukaryotic small subunit ribosomal RNA", at positions 591 to 806 of the family's 1831-position model. Lineage: Eukaryota; Fungi; Glomeromycota; Glomeromycetes; Glomerales; Glomeraceae. The record is from RNAcentral.
CCAAUAGCGUAUAUUAAAGUUGUUGCAGUUAAAAAGCUCGUAGUUGAAUUUCGGGAUUAGUACGUUGGUCGUGCCUUUGGUACGUACUGGUGUUACUGGUUCCUACCUUCUGACGAACCAUCAUGUCAUUAAUUUGGUGUGGCGGGGAAUCAGGACUGUUACUUUGAAAAAAUUAGAGUGUUUAAAGCAGGCUCGCGCUUGAAUACAUUA